GGGGAUUUAGCUCAGCGGCAUAAGCGCCUGCCUUGCAAGCAGGUAGUCGUGAGUUCAAUCCCCA
Cavia porcellus (domestic guinea pig) is the source of this 64-nucleotide transfer RNA. It matches the Rfam family "tRNA". Rfam says of the family: Transfer RNA (tRNA) molecules are approximately 80 nucleotides in length. Their secondary structure includes four short double-helical elements and three loops (D, anti-codon, and T loops). Lineage: Eukaryota; Metazoa; Chordata; Mammalia; Rodentia; Caviidae. The record is from Rfam.